UUUCCGUAGGUGAACCUGCGGAAGGAUCAUUAAUGAGUUGUCAUGGGGUUCGAUGCUGGCAGCCAGUUUUUGGAUGCAUGUGCUUGCCCUAACAAUCAUCUUCUUCCAAACACCUGUGCACAUUUUUGAGGGAGUCUUGAGUUGGUUGCCGCUCUUGGGUGAUUUUCUCACAUUCCCUUGAAUCAUUAUACGCUAUUAACAAUGUUGAACGUGCUCUGUGCCGCAAGGCCAUUAAUAUAAUACAACUUUUAACAACGGAUCUCUUGGCUCUC
RNAcentral lists this unclassified non-coding RNA (272 nucleotides) under plant metagenome. RNAcentral describes it as "partial contains small subunit ribosomal RNA, internal transcribed spacer 1, and 5.8S ribosomal RNA". The record is from RNAcentral.